AUUGAACGCUGGCGGCAGGCUUAACACAUGCAAGUCGAGCGGGGUGAUGGUGCUUGCACUAUCACUUAGCGGCGGACGGGUGAGUAAUGCUUAGGAAUCUGCCUAUUAGUGGGGGACAACAUCUCGAAAGGGAUGCUAAUACCGCAUACGUCCUACGGGAGAAAGCAGGGGAUCACUUGUGACCUUGCGCUAAUAGAUGAGCCUAGGUCGGAUUAGCUAGUUGGGGGGGUAAAGGCCUACCAAGGCGACGAUCUGUAGCGGGUCUGAGAGGAUGAUCCGCCACACUGGGACUGAGACACGGCCCAGACUCCUACGGGAGGCAGCAGUGGGGAAUAUUGGACAAUGGGGGGAACCCUGAUCCAGCCAUGCCGCGUGUGUGAAGAAGGCCUUAUGGUUGUAAAGCACUUUAAGCGAGGAGGAGGCUCUUUUGGUUAAUACCCAAGAUGAGUGGACGUUACUCGCAGAAUAAGCACCGGCUAACUCUGUGCCAGCAGCCGCAGUAA
RNAcentral lists this ribosomal RNA (503 nucleotides) under uncultured bacterium. RNAcentral describes it as "partial 16S ribosomal RNA". It matches the Rfam family "Bacterial small subunit ribosomal RNA", at positions 30 to 523 of the family's 1533-position model. The record is from RNAcentral.